RNAcentral lists this long non-coding RNA (517 nucleotides) under Phoenix dactylifera (date palm). RNAcentral describes it as "long non-coding RNA (PDAC_LNC000056)". Lineage: Eukaryota; Viridiplantae; Streptophyta; Magnoliopsida; Arecales; Arecaceae. The record is from RNAcentral.
UCAAGAACACUGGAUCCGUAUCUAUUUAUUUUUUUGACAAAUUAUUUACUACAGACCUAUCUAGUACAAUUUUGAGACUUUUGUCCCAAACAAGACUCGAAAAUGAUAGAAAGCUGGUAUAUAAACUAAUAAUAUUAUAAUAGUAACUAGCAUAUUAAAAAAAUAUGGAAGCUAGCGUCUUUGGAUAUUGCAUACUAGAUCCAAGCUGAUAACGAUAAAAUUGGUGGUCUUUUCUGAGGUCGCUUUGUACGAACUGCGCCCUGCUUUAUACGGUAGCACAGAUGUUGCAGAUAUUGCCACGGUACCCUUUUGGACGUGCCUCUAGGUUUCCCCAUCGCUUACGGUGGAACACACCUUUUGCACGCGAAUAGUUUCGCCGUAUUACUGCCAAAAAGGGGGCCCCACCUGAAAGGUUUCCUUCGUAUCAUUUGCGGUCGCUACUCCCUCCGUCCACCCAAACUCCAUCACGUAUAUCCAGCCAUUACCCAAGCUGGUCCGACAGGUAUGGCUGCCCUCG